Molecule: ribosomal RNA, 467 nt
Filed under: uncultured bacterium
Lineage: Bacteria
Description: partial 16S ribosomal RNA
Rfam family: Bacterial small subunit ribosomal RNA
Source: RNAcentral
GAUGAACGCUGGCGGCGUGCUUAACACAUGCAAGUCGAACGGAAAGGCCCAAGCUUGCUUGGGUACUCGUGUGGCGAACGGGUGAGUAACACGUGGGUGAUCUGCCCUGCACUUCGGGAUAAGCCUGGGAAACUGGGUCUAAUACCGGAUAGGACGAUGGUUUGGAUGCCAUUGUGGAAAGUUUUUUCGGUGUGGGAUGAGCUCGCGGCCUAUCAGCUUGUUGGUGGGGUAAUGGCCUACCAAGGCGUCGACGGGUAGCCGGCCUGAGAGGGUGUACGGCCACAUUGGGACUGAGAUACGGCCCAGACUCCUACGGGAGGCAGCAGUGGGGAAUAUUGCACAAUGGGCGCAAGCCUGAUGCAGCGACGCCGCGUGGGGGAUGACGGCCUUCGGGUUGUAAACUCCUUUCGCUAGGGACGAAGCGUUUUGUGACGGUACCUGGAGAAGAAGCACCGGCUAACUACGUG